This 198-nucleotide ribosomal RNA is filed under the name uncultured bacterium. RNAcentral describes it as "partial 16S ribosomal RNA". It matches the Rfam family "Bacterial small subunit ribosomal RNA", at positions 1303 to 1500 of the family's 1533-position model. The record is from RNAcentral.
GGCUGAAACUCGCCUAUAUGAAGUCGGAAUUGCUAGUAAUCGCGGAUCAGCAUGCCGCGGUGAAUACGUUCCCGGGCCUUGUACACACCGCCUGUCACACCAUGAGAGUCGAUAACACCCGAAGCCUGUAGUCUAACAGCAAUGAGGACGCAGUCGAAGGUGGGAUUGAUAAUUAGGGUGAAGUCGUAACAAGGUAAC